RNAcentral lists this ribosomal RNA (301 nucleotides) under uncultured bacterium. Its description in RNAcentral is "partial 16S ribosomal RNA". It matches the Rfam family "Bacterial small subunit ribosomal RNA", at positions 509 to 809 of the family's 1533-position model. The record is from RNAcentral.
CAGUAGCCACGGUAAUACGGAGGGUGCAAGCGUUAAUCGGAAUUACUGGGCGUAAAGCGCACGCAGGCAGUUUGUUAAGUCAGAUGUGAAAUCCCCGAGCUUAACUUGGGAACUGCAUUUGAAACUGGCAAGCUAGAGUCUUGUAGAGGGGGGUAGAAUUCCAGGUGUAGCGGUGAAAUGCGUAGAGAUCUGGAGGAAUACCGGUGGCGAAGGCGGCCCCCUGGACAAAGGCUGACGCUCAGGCGCGAAAGCGUGGGGAGCAAACAGGAUUAGAUACCCCUGUAGUCCCUGUCUCUUAUAU